This 301-nucleotide ribosomal RNA is filed under the name uncultured bacterium. Its description in RNAcentral is "partial 16S ribosomal RNA". It matches the Rfam family "Bacterial small subunit ribosomal RNA", at positions 509 to 807 of the family's 1533-position model. The record is from RNAcentral.
CAGUCGCCGCGGUAAUACGUAGGGGGCAAGCGUUAUCCGGAAUUACUGGGUGUAAAGGGAGCGUAGACGGUUAAACAAGUCUGAAGUGAAAUGCCGGGGCUCAACCCCGGAGCUGCUUUGGGAACUGUAGAACUGGAGUGUCGGAGGGGUAAGCGGAAUUCCCAGUGUAGCGGUGAAAUGCGUAGAUAUUGGGAGGAACACCGGUGGCGAAGGCGGCUUACUGGACGACAACUGACGUUGAGGCUCGAAGGCGUGGGUAGCAAACCGGAUUAGAUACCCCUGUAGUCCCUGUCUCUUAUAC